Micropterus dolomieu (smallmouth bass) is the source of this 1008-nucleotide long non-coding RNA. RefSeq lists it as uncharacterized. The record is from RefSeq and is a predicted model, not a curated record. Lineage: Eukaryota; Metazoa; Chordata; Actinopteri; Centrarchiformes; Centrarchidae. The transcript has 4 exons.
UGAAAACUCAAAUACCGUGGCUGAUUAUACUGCAACAUUAUUCUACACUUGCCUAGGAAGAUAAGUAGAGUUGUGUUAGAUUAUUAUAGUUUACAGAUGCAAUCACAAAUUAGUCUUAGAGAAUUAAGAUAAAGUAAAACAUCAUCAGCAUAUUUCACACUGCCAAAAACAGCUGAACAUGCAGCUAAACAGAUACAUUUACAAGAUGUCUUCCUUCAUACAACAUCAAAUCUGUUCCUAUGAUUUGUAUUUUUCACUUUUUGAGUACCCCUCCACAGUGUGGAAGUACCCAGUACCGGCGGCGAUAACGGUCCUGGCCAUACAUCAUGGAGCGCAGAGAAUGGGAUAUUUCAAACAGCUUUCUUCUGGUCUGAUGAUGUUGCUGCAAAGCUCCUCGAGACUGGUGGCUUGGUCAACUUCAUCCUGACAGAACAAAGUAAAUACAGUAAAUGUCUGUGAGCAACCCUCCAAGUUUCCUCUUGCGUUUGGCGGCAGAGGACGGAGUGCAAACAGACUGGUUCUCUUCCACACCCAUACUGGCCUCCCUCCUCCCAGUACGUUUGGCAUAAAUGGUCUUCAACCUGCAUCAACACACGCAGGUUCAGCAUGAUAGUGUACAGAGAAGUAAAAGCAUGACUUUUUAGGAUUAAAGAAAACUUACUUCUUCAGCUUUCCCUCCAUAAUGAUCUUAUCCUUCCUCAUGUUUGCCAUCUGAUCAAGGCUCUUGUCAAUCUCACUGCAAUAGGAAAUGUAAUCCUGUCAGUUACAUUUGUGCAUAUGUACAUUGAUGUUUUUGUUAUUGGUAAAGUAAUGGCAAAUAUGUUGAGUGAAAGAUAAAAGCUCAGUGAGGCUGGCAACUAUCUACAGCCAAAGUAAAAAGUUUAAUAAGCUGUUAUCCCGGAGCACAAAUUAGUACUUGCAUAAUUUGCUUACAAUCAAAAGGACUUUUACUGCUCUCAAAUUACUGCUCCCUACAGCAGCUUUAUUAAUCUUUUUCCACUGCAUCAA